UUUCUCUGGCAACUACAGUGAUAAGAGAGCAACCAACAGUUGGAUGGCAAAAAAUCCUACUAGACAUAUGGUCUAUUUAUACAGAUCAUUGACAGUGCCAAUCCAGUCAUCAAAUCACCAAAUCCUAUCACUUUGCGAGAUUUAAAGCGACAGACUUUAUAGCUAUUCAUUGCACCCUUAUCCGAUCAAGCCACGAGACUACUUGCAAAGUGCAUCUUGGAACUUACCACAACUUGCUACAUCGGGGG
RNAcentral lists this long non-coding RNA (248 nucleotides) under Elaeis guineensis (African oil palm). RNAcentral describes it as "long non-coding RNA (EGUI_LNC041050)". The record is from RNAcentral. Lineage: Eukaryota; Viridiplantae; Streptophyta; Magnoliopsida; Arecales; Arecaceae.